CCUACGGGCGGCAGCAGUGAGGAAUAUUGGUCAAUGGACGCAAGUCUGAACCAGCCAUGCCGCGUGCAGGAAGACGGCUCUAUGAGUUGUAAACUGCUUUUGUACGAGGGUAAACGCAGAUACGCGUAUCUGUCUGAAAGUAUCGGACGAAUAAGGAUCGGCUAACUCCGUGCCAGUAGCCGCGGUAAUACGGAGGAUUCAGGCGUUAUCCGGAUUUAUUGGGUUUAAAGGGUGCGUAGGCGGUCGGAUAAGUUAGAGGGGAAAUCCCGAGGCUCAACUUCGGAAUUGCCUCUGAUACUGUUCGGCUAGAGAGUAGGUGCGGUAGGCGGAAUGUAUGGUGUAGCGGUGAAAUGCUUAGAGAUCAUACAGAACACCGAUUGCGAAGGCAGCUUACCAAGCCACUUCUGACGUGGAGGCACGAAAGCGUGGGGAGCAAACAGGAUUAGAUACCCUUGUAGUC
Molecule: ribosomal RNA, 460 nt
Filed under: uncultured bacterium
Lineage: Bacteria
Description: partial 16S ribosomal RNA
Rfam family: Bacterial small subunit ribosomal RNA
Source: RNAcentral